UACGUAGGGUGCAGGCGUUACUCGGAAUUACUGGGCGUAAAGAGCUCGUAGGCGGUCUGUUGCGUCGGUUGUGAAAACCUGGGGCUCAACUCCAGGCCUGCAAUCGAUACGGGCAGACUAGAGUUCGGUAGGGGAGACUGGAAUUCCUGGUGUAGCGGUGAAAUGCGCAGAUAUCAGGAGGAACACCGGUGGCGAAGGCGGGUCUCUGGGCCGAAACUGACGCUGAGGAGCGAAAGCGUGGGGAGCGAACAGG
RNAcentral lists this ribosomal RNA (253 nucleotides) under uncultured bacterium. RNAcentral's name for it is "partial 16S ribosomal RNA". It matches the Rfam family "Bacterial small subunit ribosomal RNA", at positions 524 to 776 of the family's 1533-position model. The record is from RNAcentral.